CACGUUCAAAAGACACCCAGGAGCAAAGAGCUCCGAGUGCAUGUGUGGGUGUACUUCAGAGCGUAUGCGUGUGAUUCACCAACUUGCGAUGAUUUAAUGAACACUGAUCAAAGGAGAGCCAGCCACUGUAUCGGUUUGGUAGCAGUGCCGUUCAAAGGAAACAAAGUAGGCUAGGUUAAGGACAUCCCAUAAUGAUAAGUGGCAGGUUCGGCUCUCGGGAUUUGCAAGGUACCACGCAAACUUGAAAUAUAAGGUGAAAUAACGGCAUGACUGGAUGUUACACCCACAGAUUACACUUACCGAAGCACUUCGUCCAUCAGGGUGCUUCUGGGAGCACAUGGGGCUGAUGAAUCCAGCUAGUGGUGGUUUCCCUUUGGCCAGUAAUCAAAGGCAGUGGAAUUACUGCAUUUUGGGAGCUUAAAUGCGCAAAUUAAUAAAAAGAACAACUGGAACUGAAAUGGCCUAUUUGGAAAUAAUGAGUUUGUUUGUUUUUUUCUCCCUGUCGGUGAUUUGGCAGCAGAAACCACAAACAAUCAUACAGGAGCAGUACCUUUUACUGCACAAGCAAUUAAGGGAAAUUGAAUGCUUCAAAUGAUAUUUUUUUAUAUAUUUUAAGAUCAUAUGGGGGCUAUUAGCAGAAUUUGUUCAACGGAAUAUUGAUUAAAUAUAUCUUUCCCAUUA
Paramormyrops kingsleyae is the source of this 681-nucleotide long non-coding RNA. RefSeq lists it as uncharacterized. NCBI's taxonomy places the organism in Eukaryota, Metazoa, Chordata, Actinopteri, Osteoglossiformes, Mormyridae. The record is from RefSeq and is a predicted model, not a curated record.